Molecule: long non-coding RNA, 539 nt
Organism: Poecilia latipinna (sailfin molly)
Lineage: Eukaryota; Metazoa; Chordata; Actinopteri; Cyprinodontiformes; Poeciliidae
Exons: 2
Source: RefSeq, a predicted model, not a curated record
UGAGCCUGAGUUAUUCCCAGGACUCAUCUACCGGAUGGUGAAACCUCGUAUCGUCCUGCUCAUCUUUGUAUCUGGGAAGGUGGUUCUGACUGGAGCUAAAGAACGUGCAGAGAUCUACGAAGCCUUUGAGAACAUUUAUCCCAUCCUGAAGGGCUUUAGAAAGCAGUGACAGCAUUUUUGUUCUUGUGUGAUUAAAAUGAUGUGUGUUUAAUGGUAUGUGGAUAUGUUAAAUUCAGUGUUACACCAUUUCUUUUGUUGGAAAAACAGGUAAAUUUGUUUUAGAGCUUGUUGAUUUCCCUCAAACAAAAUAAUUUUUUUUAAAAAUGCUGACCUACAUUAUUUUUGAGGGGAGGCUGAAGGGGACUAGAAAUCAGACAAUUGAAACAUUUGAGUUUGAUUUCAGUUUUCCCUGUGUAACCUGUCAGUGUCCUUUGGCAAGACACUGAAGUCCAAGUUACCUAUGUGUACAGUAUUCUUACUGCUUCACCUUCCCCACAUUUUAUUUUAUUCAAAAUUAUACACACAAAUACACCAUUAUG